UCGGGGCAUUGAGCCUCUUCAGAUGUUUCUUCAACCCUCUAGCCUGCACAUAAAUGUAAACCCACGUUCACUAAAUAAAUCAAGCAAUACAUUUCCACAAUGUAAAUCAUCGCAGGGUAUGCUGUAAAUAAAUCAAGUAAUACAUUUCCACAAUGUAAAGCAUCGCAGGGUAUGCUUUCAUAUCUAACUAGACACGAACCACAGCAAAUUAUCUCAAGAAAGAAUACUCUUUCAUAUACAGAAGGUUUCCAGAAUUCACGAGCCAUACCGAAGGAACAGAAUUAUAGUGCCCGAAUCAUUGAAUGUCUAAACCCAUUUUAAAACUACAAAUUAAGUUAUGUAAAUCAUGUACAGGAGUACAGGACAGGUCUCAACCCCAUAUAAACACUCAUCUCUUUGAUCUUCCCGAAAAAUCCCAGGAAAAGGGCAAAGGAACUGAGCACAAUACCAAGACAAUUAAAUGUAAAACUACCGAUCAGGACCCUAUUACCUUCAAAUAACAUCUCUAUCACAAAACUACAUGCAGGUAGAUUUAGUAUCACAUGAAGUUUCACAAGCAAAAUACUACAAAUACUACUACUACGCCUCAAUUAGUUGGCUAUAUGAAUCCUCAUUGUCCAUGUAGCUCCAUUUAAACCCAUCUCAGUCCAAUACUAUAGAUAUUACUUAUUUCUAGAACCAUCAGUUCUCUACAGUACAUCUACAAAAUAUUAAACAAGAGUUUUUUUGCUUAAACCCAUAUGAAAAAAAUGAAGAUUAGCCCUAUAGAGAAACACAAAUGAAACUUUUUACAGAUCCUUAAAGCAAAAAACAAUUCACAUAAUCUAUUUCUUGAUAACAUGAAUAACCAAAGCAAAAUUGAAACGAACCAAAUAAGCCCUUCACAAAUACUUAAA
This 896-nucleotide long non-coding RNA is filed under the name Nicotiana benthamiana. RNAcentral describes it as "long non-coding RNA (NBEN_LNC018005)". Lineage: Eukaryota; Viridiplantae; Streptophyta; Magnoliopsida; Solanales; Solanaceae. The record is from RNAcentral.